AGAGUUUGAUCAUGGCUCAGGAUGAACGCUGGCGGCGUGCUUAACACAUGCAAGUCGAACGGAGCGCUCGUGACGGAGUUUUUGGACAACGGAUCGAGCUGCUUAGUGGCGGACGGGUGAGUAACGCGUGAGCAAUCUGCCUUGGAGUGGAGAAUAACACAGGGAAACUUGUGCUAAUACCGCAUGAUGCAGCUGCACCGCAUGGUGGUGGUUGCCAAAGAUCUAUCGCUCUGAGAUGAGCUCGCGUCUGAUUAGCUAGUUGGCGGGGUAACGGCCCACCAAGGCGACGAUCAGUAGCCGG
RNAcentral lists this ribosomal RNA (301 nucleotides) under uncultured bacterium. Its description in RNAcentral is "bacterial SSU rRNA". It matches the Rfam family "Bacterial small subunit ribosomal RNA", at positions 8 to 290 of the family's 1533-position model. The record is from RNAcentral.